Molecule: ribosomal RNA, 253 nt
Filed under: uncultured bacterium
Lineage: Bacteria
Description: partial 16S ribosomal RNA
Rfam family: Bacterial small subunit ribosomal RNA
Source: RNAcentral
GACAGAGGGUGCAAGCGUUAAUCGGAAUGAUUGGGCGUAAAGGGCGUGUAGGUGGUGGUUUAGGUUUGGUGUGAAAGCUCUCGGCUCAACCGAGAAAGUGCACCAAAUACCGGAUUACUAGAGUGAGAGAGAGGACUGCGGAACUUUCGGUGUAGCGGUGAAAUGUGUAGAUAUCGAAAGGAACACCAGUGGCGAAGGCGGCAGUCUAGCUCUAUACUGACACUGAGGCGCGAAGGCGUGGGGAGCAAACAGG